CGAGACUCAGUGAAAUUGAACUCGCUGUGAAGAUGCAGUGUACCCGCGGCAAGACGGAAAGACCCCGUGAACCUUUACUAUAGCUUGACACUGAACAUUGAGCCUUGAUGUGUAGGAUAGGUGGGAGGCUUUGAAGUGUGGACGCCAGUCUGCAUGGAGCCGGCCUUGAAAUACCACCCUUUAAUGUUUGAUGUUCUAACGUGGACCCGUGAUCCGGGUUGCGGACAGUGUCUGGUGGGUAGUUUGACUGGGGCGGUCUCCUCCUAAAGAGUAACGGAGGAGCACGAAGGUUGGCUAAUCCUGGUCGGACAUCAGGAGGUUAGUGCAAUGGCAUAAGCCAGCUUGACUGCGAGCGUGACGGCGCGAGCAGGUGCGAAAGCAGGUCAUAGUGAUCCGGUGGUUCUGAAUGGAAGGGCCAUCGCUCAACGGAUAAAAGGUACUCCGGGGAUAACAGGCUGAUACCGCCCAAGAGUUCAUAUCGACGGCGGUGUUUGGCACCUCGAUGUCGGCUCAUCACAUCCUGGGGCUGAAGUAGGUCCCAAGGGUAUGGCUGUUCGCCAUUUAAAGUGGUACGCGAGCUGGGUUUAGAACGUCGUGAGACAGUUCGGUCCCUAUCUGCCGUGGGCGCUGGAGAACUGAGGGGGGCUGCUCCUAGUACGAGAGGACCGGAGUGGACGCAUCACUGGUGUUCGGGUUGUCAUGCCAAUGGCACUGCCCGGUAGCUAAAUGCGGAAGAGAUAAGUGCUGAAAGCAUCUAAGCACGAAACUUGCCCCGAGAUGAGUUCUCCCUGACCCUUUAAGGGUCCUGAAGGAACGUUGAAGACGACGACGUUGAUAGGCCGGGUGUGUAAGCGCAGCGAUGCGUUGAGCUAACCGGUACUAAUGAACCGUGAGGCUUAACCUUACAACGCCGAAG
This 916-nucleotide ribosomal RNA is filed under the name Shigella sonnei. Its description in RNAcentral is "partial 23S ribosomal RNA". It matches the Rfam family "Bacterial large subunit ribosomal RNA", at positions 2027 to 2925 of the family's 2925-position model. The record is from RNAcentral. Lineage: Bacteria; Pseudomonadati; Pseudomonadota; Gammaproteobacteria; Enterobacterales; Enterobacteriaceae.